GACGAACGCUGGCGGCGUGCUUAACACAUGCAAGUCGAACGGAAAGGCCCUGCUUUUGUGGGGUGCUCGAGUGGCGAACGGGUGAGUAACACGUGAGUAACCUGCCCUUGACUUUGGGAUAACUUCAGGAAACUGGGGCUAAUACCGGAUAGGAGCUCCUGCUGCAUGGUGGGGGUUGGAAAGUUUCGGCGGUUUGGGAUGGACUCGCGGCUUAUCAGCUUGUUGGUGGGGUAGUGGCUUACCAAGGCUUUGACGGGUAGCCGGCCUGAGAGGGUGACCGGCCACAUUGGGACUGAGGUACGGCCCAGACUCCUACGGGAGGCAGCAGUGGGGAAUAUUGCACAAUGGGCGGAAGCCUGAUGCAGCAACGCCGCGUGCGGGAUGACGGCCUUCGGGUUGUAAACCGCUUUCGCCUGUGACGAAGCGUGAGUGACGGUAAUGGGUAAAGAAGCACCGGCUAACUACGUG
Molecule: ribosomal RNA, 468 nt
Filed under: uncultured bacterium
Lineage: Bacteria
Description: partial 16S ribosomal RNA
Rfam family: Bacterial small subunit ribosomal RNA
Source: RNAcentral